This 253-nucleotide ribosomal RNA is filed under the name uncultured bacterium. RNAcentral's name for it is "partial 16S ribosomal RNA". It matches the Rfam family "Bacterial small subunit ribosomal RNA", at positions 524 to 776 of the family's 1533-position model. The record is from RNAcentral.
UACGGAGGGUGCAAGCGUUGUCCGGAAUUAUUGGGCGUAAAGAGCUCGUAGGCGGUUUGUCGCGUCUGCUGUGAAAACUCGGGGCUUAACUCCGGGCCUGCAGUGGGUACGGGCAGACUAGAGUGCGGUAGGGGAGACUGGAAUUCCUGGUGUAGCGGUGAAAUGCGCAGAUAUCAGGAGGAACACCGGUGGCGAAGGCGGCUACCUGGACAAUUGCUGACGCUCAGGCACGAAAGCGUGGGGAGCAAAAGGG